This 1887-nucleotide long non-coding RNA is filed under the name Homo sapiens (human). RNAcentral describes it as "long independently transcribed non-coding RNA 2377, transcript variant 31 (LINC02377)". Lineage: Eukaryota; Metazoa; Chordata; Mammalia; Primates; Hominidae. The record is from RNAcentral.
GCCAGAUAAGGGAAGCAGGCCUCCGAAGCCAGCAGUGGCAACCCACUUGGGUCCCUUUCAAUGCUGUGGAAGCGUUGUUCUUUCACUCUUCUCAAUAAAUCUUGCUGCUGCUCACUCUUUGGGUCUGCCCCGCUGUUAUGAGCUGUAACACUCACAGCCAGUGUCUGCAGUUUCACUCCUGAAGCCAGCAAGACCACAAACCCACAGGGCGGGACAAACAACUCCGGACAGGAGGAAUGAACAACUCUGGACGCGCCACUUCUAUGAACUUUUAUGAACUGUAACACUCACCGCAAAGGUCUGCAGCUUCACCCCUGAGGCCAGGGAGACCACGAACCCACCGGAAGGAAUGAACAACUCCAGACGCACUGCCUUUAAGAGCUGUAACACUUACCACGGAUGUCUGCAGCUUCACUCCUGAAGUCAGCGAGACCACAAACCCAACAGAAGGAAGAAACUCCCGACACAUCUGAACAUCUGAAGGAACAAACUCUGGACACACCAUCUUUAAGAACUGUAACACUCACCGUGAGGGUCAACCGCUUCAUUCUUGAAGUCAGCCAGACCAAGAACCCACCAAUUCCGAGUCUCACUUUGUUGCCUAAGCUAGAGUGCAGCGUCGUGAUCAAGGCUCACUGCAGCCUCAACAUCCUGAUCCCCAGUGUUCCUCCCACCUCAACCUCCCAAGUAGCUGGGACCACAGGCUCAUAGGCAGAAGGGACUUUCCUUGUCUCAGAUGAGAAUUUGGACUGUGGACUUCUGCUGAAAGUCAUUUAAUGCUGAAAUGAAUGCCAGAUGCCUCUAGUGAGCCACCUUGAAUCACUAUUCUGAAUACAUCUUGAGUAAAAAGAGAAAAUUGCUCAUGUUUCCAUGUCUAUCUGAAUCAUGUUAUUGGACCAUGAGAGCAAGCAGCUGGAUCUCAUUCUGUCCAGGUACAAAUAUACUAAAUUAACAUAAGUAGCAUAUCAUAUGUGUCAUAUGUGUGCUGAAUAUGUUAUAUUUAAUAACUAAAAAACCUUAAAACCUUACUUUUUUGGUACUUUUAAAUACCAAGAAUUAAUUAAUUAAUUAAUUAAUUUAGCUUGUGUCCAUUUCCUCUUACAAGUAUAUAGGAAACUUUUUACUCUCUGAAUCUUUAUAAAAUUGCAAGUCUUGGUGAACAGUAAUUGUCUUCUUGGAUAAUAUUUAUGCAAAGAGUGUUUGGAGACAUCUAUAUUCUGGAUAAAACUAAUUAUUUAAUACAGUACUUUUUUUAAAGGACAUGCUAUUUUAACUUCACUUCAGCAAAGUUUAUCUGUAGGCACUUAUAUAUGCACUUAAAACAAAAUUUAAAUAAAUGAGCAUGAUUUUUUUCCUUACUUUAAGUGGACUGGCAUCUUUCCCAUAUGUUUUGCAUGUAACAACAUUCCCAAAAAGUUAAGUGCAUCUAGGAUACACCUUAUUUAAUAACCUUAGCACCAGCUGCUCAUAUUCACUGCCAGAAAUCAUGCUUUUUUGUACACAGCCUAAAGGCAAAAAAAAAUAAAAAGUGAUUUAGAAGCUGCUACUAGGCUGAAAGGUAAAUCAGUGUUCCACAUAAUUCAAAACUUACUUUUUAUAAAAAAGCAAAUAAAAGCACAAAAGUAAUUUUAGCUGAAUAUUUAAAAAGUAAUUCUAUAUGGUAUGACACUUACUACAACAGAAACUUUUGCUUACUUUCAUAGGACUCCUGGAAACAGCAGCUCUAACAAAAUUGUCUUCAAUAAAUAAGUUUUUUUGCAUCACAUUUGUGUAUGUCCUGAAUGUUCUGAGCCCUUCAGAUUUGACUCAUAUUCAUGCUAAAAGAAAAAAUGCAAAUGAAAAUUGUAUAGCUAAUUAUGAGAAAAAUAAAGCAUCAUAAGAAAACCA